Molecule: ribosomal RNA, 248 nt
Filed under: uncultured bacterium
Lineage: Bacteria
Description: partial 16S ribosomal RNA
Rfam family: Bacterial small subunit ribosomal RNA
Source: RNAcentral
GAUCCUGGCUCAGGAUGAACGCUAGCUACAGGCUUAACACAUGCAAGUCGAGGGGCAGCAUUUCAGUUUGCUUGCAAACUGGAGAUGGCGACCGGCGCACGGGUGAGUAACACGUAUCCAACCUGCCGAUAACUCGGGGAUAGCCUUUCGAAAGAAAGAUUAAUACCCGAUGGUAUAAUUAGACCGCAUGGUACUUGUUAUUAAAGAAUUUCGGUUAUCGAUGGGGAUGCGUUCCAUUAGGCAGUUGG